Non-coding RNA from Arachis ipaensis, 732 nucleotides. Lineage: Eukaryota; Viridiplantae; Streptophyta; Magnoliopsida; Fabales; Fabaceae. The record is from RefSeq and is a predicted model, not a curated record.
CAUCUGCUCCCCCUUCAUGGAGGCGCCAUCCUCGGCGCCAUUACCAGUUGUCAGAUCUGCCGCUUCUACGUCCUUGACCGGAUUUGUUCCCCGCCACGGACGGCCACCGGCAUCUAGAGGUUGCGUUCCGGCAUACAGUCAUGUUGAAUUCUGAAAAAUUGGUUGCUGCAUUCAUCAAUGCUGCAUUCUCAUAAUCUGAUGCUGAAUUCUGAAAUUGCAGAGCCGUAAGUGUUGAAUUGUUUACUUCUGGAGCGGUUGAAUUAUUGUUGAUUGGCUGAAAAGCUGAGGUUGAUUUGGCUUGAAUCUGAAAAAUUGGAUGUUGCUGCUUCUGGAUUUUGGUUGAAAUUUCUGCUGGUAGUGCACAAUCGGCUUCCCCAUGGAUCCUCUUGGUCACGGUUUCACCAAUUUUGUUGCAAGUUGCCUGAAUUUCUGCAGGUAUCUUGGAUCGUUUUUCAUAAUCUGAAUUCAAGCGAUCUAAGCUAGUUUGAAUUUGAUCCCAAAUUGUGUCAUCGUAGGAAUUUGGCAUGGUGUUCAAUGAAAGUACCAUUUGAUAUGAAUUUGUAUCGAGAACUAGAAAGAAUUAGAGAUAAUCAGAGAGAAUAGAAGAGAAAUCCCUACAAUUAGGGUCAAAGAGAGAAAGUAGAGUUUCCAAUUACACCAUGCAUAUCCUACAUUAUUACAUCAUACUCUUAUUUAUAGUAUAAUUCUCUAAUUGGGCUAGCCUAAUACUAA